Molecule: non-coding RNA, 82 nt
Organism: Ixodes scapularis (black-legged tick)
Lineage: Eukaryota; Metazoa; Arthropoda; Arachnida; Ixodida; Ixodidae
Source: Rfam
GCAGUCGUGGCCGAGUGGUUAAGGCGAUGGACCAGAAAUCCCUUGGGGUCUCCCCGCACAGGUUCGAAUCCUGUUGACUGCG